Non-coding RNA from Macaca mulatta (Rhesus monkey), 1141 nucleotides. Lineage: Eukaryota; Metazoa; Chordata; Mammalia; Primates; Cercopithecidae. The record is from RefSeq and is a predicted model, not a curated record.
CUGGACAGAUGGUAUCUGAGCCAGAGUGAGAACUCAGACCUCCAGUCUAAUGCCCUUCAAAUAGUGAAAGCCAGUCACAGUCGACAGAUAAGAACCACACAAAAUAGGAAAGGAAGUGAUGGCGUUUCAAGGGAAACAGGCACCUGUUGCCUCGGUAGCAAAAGCAGCAACGGUCGCUUUGUAAAAAGUUUUAAAAAUACCCCCCAAGUCUUUCAGGAGUAAGUGCUGCUACACGGGCCGAGGUCUGCGGGUGCUUCCACCCUUGUAUUCCUAGGAGGGCCGUCUCGGUUCUCACCACCCAUGCCGAUGGACUUUGGGCCAUGCUGACUUCUGGCCUCUCAGCGCGCCCACCUGACGAACACGGGCCCAGCUGGGAGGGAGAAGGACCAAAGGCUCCCAGGUCAGCUGAGCCAAACGUACAAAGUGUCUGGAGCCAUUGGUGAUAUUAAAUGUUAAACGCGGGCGUGUAGGAAUCAGUCAUGAGUGCCCUAGGUGUUCUUAGGUAUGUGGCGUCGUGAUGGUUUCCGGGUAAACAGAUUUCAUAACAACUGUCGCCCUGCCCGGCAGACACCUCGGGACUCCUGGGUGUCCUGUUCCCUGGAGGAAUUGCUCUCAGGAGCUGUGAAACAGAAACAUCCUCAGGCUGGCAGAACUGCUGAUGCCUCAGAUGCUCUGUUGUUCUUGUGGUGGCUUCUGGGCUAUGGAAGGGGCACGAUCCCCUCGGCAGCGGCUGUUCUCUAGAGGAGCUGAGACUCCCUGUAUGAGAUGAAUAGAGCUGUGCCCCCCUGGAAAACGGUUCAUGAUUACGAUGGUGGCGAGCUUCGUGGCCAUGGCGGGCCAGUUCCUCAUGCCCGGGCUAGCCGCCUUGUGCCGGGACUGGCAGGUGCUGCAGGCCCUCAUCAUCUGCCCCUUCCUGCUCAUGCUGCUCUACUGGUCGUGAGUAUCCUCUGCACAGCACGCUGGGCUGGUGCGUCUGCACGUGCUUCCUGAAGGCCCAGCCCCGGGCAGGACACAGGAUCCCCACACUUCCUGCUAGUUUCAGCUUGUGGUUCUGUCUGAGAAGGUUUUCCUCUCUUUUUAAAAAAUGUUAUUUUUUGAACUUUCUGUCUUGGAAAAAUGUUCAAAUAUACACAAAAGUAGA